UUACUCGUAGUUUUUAGAGAAGGAUGACCCGAACAUAUAGAAUAUUUCCUCCAUGUAAAAAUCCAUUGUGGUCACGUGACCCAGUGUUUCGCGCCAUCUUUGCCGCAUGUUGGCCUGUCUGGCUCCGGAACUCAGAGGGAGAAGAACUUGACCAGGUUAAAACAAUGGCAGAUCCGGAGAAGGGAACUGAAACGGAAACAGCUGUAGCACCAACUGCUGAACCAGUCACGCCAGCUGCUCCAGCUACUCCAGCUGACCCAGCUACUCCUGCUGCCCCCACUGCCCCAGCCACUCCAGCUGCCCCAGCCACUCCUGCUGCCCCAGCCACUCCUGCUGCCCCAGCAGCAGAGGAAGAUGGGUCUGAGGAAGAGAUGGAAGAAGUAGAGGAGGAAGAGGGUGGUGAGCGCAAGGAGCUGGUAGACAAACUAAUGAGGGAUCCUCAGGUGCUGGCUGCCCUCCAGACCAAACUCCGUCGCUUCCUUGGCACUCCCUCGGGUUACAUUAGUUCUUUGCCAUUAUCUGUGAAGAGACGUAUAAAGGCAUUGAAAAAGUUACAACUUCAAUACACAGAUUUAGAGGCAGACUUCUACAAAGAAGUUCAUGCUCUAGAGGUAAAGUAUGAUAAGAUGCACCAGGCUUUGUAUGAGAAACGAAGACUAGUAGUAAAUUCAGAGUAUGAACCAAAUGAUGACGAGUGUGACUUCCCUUCAGAUGAAGAGGAGGAGGAAGAUAAAGGCCUUAGUAAAGACAUGGAAGAAAAGGCUAAAAUAGACGAGAAAGAAGACCCAAAGGUGCACGCAUUUGAUGAAAAUACUAAAGGGAUCCCUGAGUUUUGGCUGACGAUUUUCAAGAAUGUUGACCUUCUAGCAGAGAUGGUUCAAGAUUAUGAUGAGCCAAUAUUAAAGCAUUUAACUGAUAUCCAGUUGAAGUUCCAUGAUGAACCAAUGGGUUUCACCUUAGAAUUUCACUUUAGUGACAACGAGUUUUUCACAAAUAAUGUUUUAACAAAGCAUUAUGAAAUGAAGUGUGUUCCAGACAAGGAUGAUCCCUUUGGAUUUGAGGGACCUGAGAUUUUCAAAUGCAAGGGAUGUACCAUAGACUGGAAGAAGGGAAAGAAUGUAACUGUUAAAACAAUAAAGAAGAAGCAAAAGCAUAAAUCUCGAGGGGCUGUUAGGAUUGUAACAAAAACUGUGCAGAAUGAUUCAUUUUUCAACUUCUUCAAUCCACCACCAGUUCCUGAAGAUCCAGAUGAGGAUAUGGAUGAAGAUACCCAGGCCUUGUUGACUGCAGAUUUUGAAAUUGGCCACUAUAUUCGUGAGCGAAUUGUUCCCAGAGCAGUCCUCUUUUAUACUGGUGAAGCGUUGGAUGAUGAAGAUUUUGAGGAAGAGGAGGGAGAGGAAGGGAUGUGAUUUUUCCACGGAUCGAAGGGCUGAUUUGGUCAGUGGUCACCCGUGUAUCAUGCAAAUAUGGAGAGGAAGGUGAUGACGAGGAGGAAGACGAUCCAGAUUAUGAUCCAACAAAAGACAAAGCAGCAAAGGGUCAACCACCCGAGUGUAAACAGCAGUGACCUUCUGGUAAAAGUUAGGACUUCAUUAACCUGAUGCAGCAACAUCUGGCAUGUUUGGUGGCGAAGAAAAGGCUGUAUGGUUGUAUGUAAAUGAUUUGAAAAUUGGUGGAUUGCCUUCUCAGUUAAUUCAGCUGUGAAAAAUGUAUAAAGGAUAUUGAAAGUUUAAAGGAAAGCAAAAAUAUGAUUUGCCACUGGCAUUAGACUUUGGAUCAUGCAAAAAUAGCAAUAGGUUUGCCUGCCUGCUGCUGUUUUCUUGAAAUUAGAUUUUUUUUUUCAAGAGGAUUCCUAGUACUGUGGGUUUACCAUGCCAAAUCAGCAGAAUGUGUCCCCCAGAGUUGCUGAAUACCCAGGGACUAGCAAAUCUUUUGAGUAUGGGGAAUUUUAUGUAGAUCUGAUCAAUUUCCUUCUAUUAAAAAUUUAUGUAUAUUCCAAAGAAUAUUCUUAGAUUAAUAAAAUGGAAGGAUGAUUGUUGGUACCUACAGUUAAGUUGUUCAUUUGUAAUGUGGGUUGUAGACUAUUUUACCACAAUGCUAACUUGUUGUAGGACCAGCAUGAUGGGAUCUCUGUUCAUCCAUAAGGGUACUAAAAAGUUAAUUGUGAUAUAAUGCAUAUUAAAAAUGUCUGCACGGUUCUGUAAUCAUUUGAGAUUUAUAAGUUUUAGGUUCAUUAUUUUUUACAAGUGUCACUGCAUUACUCAGAGCUUUAACAAUGUAUUUGAUGGCUGUUAUGUUGCACUUAGUCCUAAGUCCCAUUGGCGAUGUUUUGGGCAGUUACCAUAGAGGUAUAUUUACCUAGGGGAUUGACAAGGGUGUUGCAUUUUCCUAUUGUAGGAGUUUAAAUUUUAAUGUGGAUAUUAUUUUUAAUGCCUGUUAAUUGCCUGAUAAACUAUGGAUAAAUGGUGUAACCAGUAUGCUUGGUAAAUCAUUGUAAUAGCUUUGUUACCACUACUGCUAAUAUAUAUAUAUGCUCCUUUUUCAAAAAAUGUUUCUGUACCCUAUCUUUGCUGUUUUGUACUAGCUGUGUGCAGAAUUUGUACCACAUUUUCAAUUCCCAAUACUCACCCUUAGUCAAAUAAAUGUCCUAUUUAUAA
RNA transcript from Cherax quadricarinatus, 2657 nucleotides. It is a transcript of the gene named nucleosome assembly protein 1-like 1, with no coding region annotated. NCBI's taxonomy places the organism in Eukaryota, Metazoa, Arthropoda, Malacostraca, Decapoda, Parastacidae. The record is from RefSeq and is a predicted model, not a curated record.